Molecule: transfer RNA, 68 nt
Filed under: human gut metagenome
Rfam family: tRNA
About the family: Transfer RNA (tRNA) molecules are approximately 80 nucleotides in length. Their secondary structure includes four short double-helical elements and three loops (D, anti-codon, and T loops).
Source: RNAcentral
CGGAUAUAGUUCAGUGGCAGAACUUCAGCUUCCCAAGCUGAUAAUGCGGGUCCGAUUCCCGUUAUCCG